RNA transcript from Fukomys damarensis (Damara mole-rat), 8330 nucleotides. It is a transcript of the gene named transmembrane protein 8B, with no coding region annotated. Lineage: Eukaryota; Metazoa; Chordata; Mammalia; Rodentia; Bathyergidae. The transcript has 17 exons. The record is from RefSeq and is a predicted model, not a curated record.
CCCGCUUCCCCAAUCUGUCCCAGCCCCUGCCUGGGUCCCUGCGAAUGCCCAGGUUCAGGUUCCAAUCCAGGCCCCCUAUUCAGUCCAGGUCGUUGGCCUGGUCCCCGUCCUCACCUCAGCCCGUAUUCCACCCCCUGUCACAAAUUCCUGCCCAGCCUUUGUCCCCACCUCAUUCCCAGCUUUUGCUUAAACCCCUGGCCCAAGCCCGACUCUGGCUCCGUUCCCCUUCACAGACCCUCCUUCCACCACACUCUCUGUCCUUGUUCAAGCCUCAGUGCUCGGCCCAGCCCAACCCCUUAUCUCAGCCUUUACCCUCAUCUCUGUGUUUGCCCUCAACUCUUCCACUGGCCCCCCGCCUCUCUCAUACUCUGCCCCUCUCCCAGCCUCGACUCAGGUCUGGGCUCCAGCUGCCGCCAGCCCUAUUGCUGCUGUUGCUGUUCUCUGUCCUUGGCCCGGGGGCUGGAGGCCUUUUCCUGACUGAUUACUCCACCUGCUCACCCCGCAAGUUAAGUCCUUUCCGCUCCUUUGCCAGCACAGAGCUCUUUCACUUCCAUGUUCCAGAGGACACGUUCCUGGCUGUGUGGAACCUCAUCAUCUUCAAGGAGCAGGGGGGAACCUUUGGAGACCACUGCCCAGACCAAAGUGUGACUGUGUAUUUCCGGUCUGGGGCACCUCCUGUCAUCAAUCCCCUGCACACCCACUUCCCAGGGGACACUGCUGUGCCUGGGGUUUUCUCACUGACCCUCAGUUGGACACUGCCUAACCGUACCUCAGGCAUCUUUAAUGUCAGCAGCCCCUUGCCAGGAGACUGGUUCUUGGCUGCUCACCUUCCUCAGGCUCAUGGCCACAUCUCUGUCAAGGGUCUCCAGGAUGAAUGUCAGUACCUCCUUCAGCCGCAACUGAUUGUCCGUCGUUUGCUGGAUGUGGCUGUGUUGGUUCCUGGCCGUCCCUCAGAGCAAACCCUCUCUUCCCACAAUCAUUCAGCCCUGUACAAGGUCUUUGUGCCCAGUUUCACUUACAGGGUUUCCGCGCAGCUGGUGUGUGUGGGGGGCCGAGGGGUGUCUGCCUGCCCCCUGACACUUCGCCUACGUCCCAAGGCCCCACCCCUGCACAACUCAAGCUCUGUGGCCUGUGGAGGUACCUCUGUGUGCCAGCUGGAGCUGGCCUUGCCACCCUGGGGGCACUGGGUCUACAUGCGAGUGGAGACACCAUCCCGGGGCCCUGGCAGGACCAUCCGCUUCCAGCUAUGUGUACGAUUGCAAGAAUGCCCACAGCCCAGUCUUUCCCGUGCCCUGGUCCCUGGAGCUGCCAUGAACAUGCCCCAGUCACUGGGGAACCAGCCACUGCCCCCAGAGCCACCAUCCCUGGGGACCUCUGUGGAGGCACCUGGGGCCACAUCUCCACCUGAGCACUGCUGGCCAGUGCGCCCAACUCUGCGCAAUGAACUGGACACCUUCUCUGUCCACUUCUACAUCUUCUUUGGCCCAAGUGUGGCCCUUCCUCCUGAGCGCCCAGCUGUGUUUGCCCUGAGGCUGUUGCCAGUACUGGACAGUGGAGGUGUCCUCAGCCUGGAGCUCCAGCUCAAUGCGAGCUCCCUGCACCAGGAAAAUGUCACAGUGUUCGGAUGCCUGACUCACGAGGUGCCCUUGAGCCUGGGGGAUGCAGCGGUGACCUGUGCCAAAGAGUCACUGGCUGGCUUCCUCCUCUCAGUCAGUGCCACCUCCAGGGUGGCGAGGCUGCGAAUCCCCUUCCCGCAGACGGGGACCUGGUUCCUGACUCUCCGCUCCCUGUGUGGGGUGGGGCCUCGGUUCGUGCGGUGCCGCAAUGCGACUGCUGAAGUGCGACUGCGCACCUUCCUGUCCCCGUGUGUAGACGACUGUGGGCCGUAUGGCCAGUGCAAGCUGCUGCGCACGCACAACUACCUGUAUGCAGCCUGCGAGUGCAAGGCUGGGUGGCGGGGCUGGGGCUGCACCGACAGUGCCGAUGCGCUCACCUAUGGCUUCCAGCUGCUGUCUACACUUUUGCUUUGCCUGAGCAACCUCAUGUUUUUGCCACCUGUGAUCCUGGCCAUUCGGAGCCGCUAUGUGCUGGAAGCUGCUGUCUACACCUUCACCAUGUUCUUCUCCACGUUCUAUCAUGCCUGUGACCAGCCAGGCAUUGUGGUUUUCUGCAUCAUGGACUACGACGUGCUGCAGUUCUGUGAUUUCCUGGGCUCAUUAAUGUCAGUGUGGGUCACUGUCAUUGCCAUGGCUCGUUUACAGCCCGUGGUCAAGCAGGUGCUGUAUUUGCUGGGGGCUAUGCUGCUGUCCAUGGCUCUGCAGCUUGACCGGCAUGGACUCUGGAACCUGCUUGGACCCAGUCUCUUCGCCCUGGGGAUCUUGGCCACAGCCUGGUACGCAGUGUCCGCCGUCGGCACUGCUACCCACCCACAUGGCGCCGCUGGCUUUUCUACCUGUGUCCAGGCAGCCUUAUUGCGGGCAGUGCCAUCCUACUGUAUGCUUUUGUGGAGACCCGGGACAACUACUUCUACAUCCAUAGCAUUUGGCAUAUGCUCAUCGCUGGCAGUGUGGGCUUCUUGCUGCCUCCUCGAUCCAAGACUGACCAUCGGGUCCCGUCUGGAGCCCGGGCCCGGGACUGUGGUUACCAACUGUGCAUCAAUGAGCAGGAGGAGCUGGGCCUUGUGGGUCCAGGAGGAACCACUGUCAGCAGCAUCUGUGCCAGCUGAGAAGGGCUUUGGCCCAGGCCCCGGGAGAUAAACCCUUGGUAGGGUUCUUCCUGGGGGUGAGGAGCCUUCCUGGGGACAAGAGACAAGCUAUAUUUCUGAAGGACUUAGAGCUUUUCUCAAGGACAUUGAAUUCUUUCAGGGACCUGGAGCCUUUCCCAGGACAUGGGAACCUACCUGUGUUCAUGGAAUCCUUCUAAGGACUGGAAGGAACUACGCAUGGCACAGAGCCCCCUCAGGACCUUCUGGGGCAUGGAGCCUUUCCCAGGGUUGUGGAGCCGUCCUACAGAUGUGAAAUACUUCCCAGGGAGACAAAAUCUUAUUAGGAACAUGGCAUUUUUCCAGAGGAAAUGGAAUCUAUCUUGGAGAAAUUGAGUCUCCAGAUUUUCCUAGAGACUCAGCAACUCUGGCCUCAGGCUUCCUUCCUGGAGGCAGCAUCUGGGCUGUUCUGUGCUGGGCACAGGGGAUUUCAGGACAGAUGGAGUUAGAACUGGGGCUUGGUGGCAGGUAUCCCGAGUUGGUACAGGUGGAGUCUGUUGUGUCUUCAGUGAAAUAUGUGCUGGUUCUGAGCUGCUUUUUCCCCCCUGGGUUAGGGUUUGGGAGAGGAAGGAAAGAAGAACCUGCGGAAAUAGCAAAGGUGAUACGAGCGUGAAAGAGCUUCUCGGAGCACUGUCUGAGGCUUCUGCCCCAUUAUGUACACACCCUCAUCUCUCUCAUCUGUUUCCUGUGUUCAUUUCCAAACCUGCCUAAUGCCUUUUCUCAAUUCCUAAAGGGCCCAGCAGUGAGAGAAACCUACAAUAACUGAGGGGGUGUGUGUGUGUGUGUGUACUCAUGUGUGAGCAUGUAUGUGUAUGGGUAUACUGAGAAGAAUUGAAGCAGUGAAACAUACCUCCCUCAUGAAGCCCAGAUACCCAGAGAAGGAAGCCAAGGUACCAGGAAAUUACACCAACAAGUAUACAUUUCAGAUUUAUAAAAAAUAUUACAAUCCUGUAACUUCUAUUUUGUGCCUCUGUUUUUCACAAGUGCCAGAAAUAAUCUUCCGUGAACUUGGGUUUCUUCUUUUUCCAUGAAGGUCAUAGCUGAGUACUGAAGAUCUUACAUAAUCUAAGAAGUUGGGGGCAUUCUCUCUGGUCAGCAGGGUCCAUACUUCACCUGUCCCCUGAGAUUUCCAUCAUUCCAUCUGAUUCUUAUUCAGCGGCCCAGACAGGCCACCUGGAUUCAAGCAGGGUUCUUCUUUCCUCUGCAUAACCCUUUCAGUCCUGAAGUUCUUCUCACCACUUCUGUAUCACAUGUGGAGGUCUGUAAGGUUUCUAAGGCCUUGGCUACUCAGACAUACCAUGAAGCCAUUUCUGCUCUGGGUUUUACUUGGAAAAAGAAGACAUAAAUUGCUCCACCUUUUUAUCCUGAGGGCCUGUGUAGGGGCUUGGCAGAGGACUCCUUCCUUUGGGACAUUGUGUUAGCACUGUUACUACAUUUCUUCCUCCUGUCCCUUCCUUCCCAAUUUGUUAAUCUGGAGGUGAGGAAACCUUACUGUUAUUUUCUCCCAAAUCUUUUAUCUGUACAUUAAGUCUUCUGAUUCUUUCGGGGCCUAGGCUGCUGAAGCUCAAAAGCCAGCAAACCGUCCCUUUAUUCCCAUUUUCUGCAGUAACGUCUCUUCUUUGGGGAACUGAGUAAAGAAGGAUGUGUCCUACUGAAUGGUGAGAAGGAGUGAAGGUGUGGACUACGUGUCUGUCCUAUAUCUGAAAUGUUGGGGCUGGGGGUUUAGCUCAGUGGUUCUGCCGCAUGCCAGGCAAGCAAAAGGUCCCGAGUUUGAUCCCUGGUACCAAAAAAAUUAAAAAAAUGAUUUGGCAGAAAUAUUAUUCCUUCACACUAAAGUGGAUAGAUCCAGGUCACUAAGAGACUUGGACUAAAAUAGCUGGGAUUCAAGACUAGAUCAGCAGAAUACAGAAGGCAGUGAAGAAGAAACAGGGCUGGGGCACAAGCUACCAAGCUAGGGGCUAUUGGAAGAUGCUUUUGAAAAAAAAAAAAAGGGGGCUUGAGAGAUUAUAUGAGUUGCUAUAGUGCCGAUUUGGGGAGAGUGUUCUCUGCGGUCACAAGUGUUCAUGUUGCAUCCCUCCCCUGAGAGUCCUGUUGUUGGACCUGGUCCUCAGUAAAGCACUUAGAACACUCAGCACAGUGCCUAGCCUGCUGCAUGCUACAUGUCCAGUACAUGAUAGCUCAAGGUCACAGCAUUUGAACAUGGGUAGAACAACAAGGGGAGACACUUACUUUAAUCAGGGAAAUGUGCAGAUUACAGGAGACCUGGGUCUGGAGGGUGUGUGUGCAGAGUUAGGUAGAUAGGAUCUGUUCUUUACCAUAUGGGGAAUACAGAGCCACUGGAGGGAUUGGAGCAGCAGGGUGUGGUGGCCAGAUUGGUAUUUUGAUGGCUGGUGUUGGGGAUGGGUUUGGGGAGAGUUGGAGGGCAGUGUAGUGAGAAAAGGUGUACCCAGUGUCAGUGGGAAGGAGGGGACUGGUUUAAGAGCUCUAGACUUAGUGGCUGAUGAAAUAGUGACAUAUAAGAGAAAGUCUAGGAUGACCACCAUGUUUCUGGCUUUGGGUGAUGGUGCCUUUCCUUGAGAUGGUGACACCACUUGGAGUUAGAGAUGUUGAGUUCAGUUUUGGAUAUUUAGAGUUUGACAUACUGGUGGGAUUCCUGGAGGUGGUAAUAAGACAGUGCUGGGCAUAGUAACUGAACCAGCCUGGAACCUUUGGUUUUCUGACUUGUCUCAUGGUAGAGAGCCCAAGAUCCAAACCAGUCCUGCCUGCCUGGGAUACAGGACUGUGGCAGCAAGUACACCUGCUCCCUGUGUGUUUCUGCAUACACAGCCACACUAAGACCCCUGACUACUUACGGCUGCCUGGAGUGUGUUCAGCAACACAGGGAUCAUUCCACAGUGGAGAUGUGAGAACUUCCAAGUGACAACUGAGUUCAGCAAAUGUGCUGUAGGGAAAGCCCUAUGGGAGCCACAGACAAGUCAGACUAUGCCAUCCUGCCCAGAAGAAGGUCUCGUGCUGGUGAAAUGUCAAGAAUGAAACUCAGGAUGAGAGAGAUGCCAAGUGAAAGGUCCUGACAAAGUACUAUAGGAUAUAAAGAGGACAAUUUCAAAGUGCAUCAGGAAAAAUUGCAUGAAAGAGAUGGUGUCUAAGCUGACUUUGAAAACUCAUCUUCCGUAUGAUCUGAGAACAGCAUGAGCAAAGACCUGGAAGUGUGGGCUGUACAGAUGUAGACAGGGGCUGGCCUGUGUGAAGGACACAGUGGAAAGUCAGGCUGAAGAAGCAGGUGAGGCCAGAUUUUGGAGGGCUUUGAGGAUCAAUGGAAGUAUUUGGACUUAAAGCUAUGGUAAUAUGAAGCUGUGCAAGAUCUUUAUCAGAAGAGUGAUUAAUCAAUUUGGGAUUUGACCAAAGUGGCAGAGCCACUGAAUGACAUAAAGAAUUUUUUAUAGAGAUUACACCUGUAUAGCCUCAGAAGCAGUGAGAGAAACCUAUGUAAAGCUGGUACCUCUGUAUUUGUUGUUGGCCUGAAGUUGGUAUGGGCCCACCAGCUUGGCAUUUGGGAAAGAAAGCUGGUUUGAGUGAGGGAGUUUAAGGGUGAAAUAGAGCCCUGGAGGCCAAGCUAGAGCGUAGGUCUAGCUCUCACUGUCUUCCAAGUUCAAUGAUACAGGUGUUCUGCAGGAGAAGUUGGCACCUUUUGCCACAAAGCUGCAUUUGGACCAGACUGAAAACAGUGAGAGAUGAUCUGGCUGGAAAUGAACAGGGUGUACUGACAGUCACAGAGUGAAGAAAACGAUGCAGAGCAGGACCCCAGCCAAACUCUGAUGGACCUGAAGCAUGAGUGAGAAACAAACCUUAAUGGUUUUAAGCCACCACUUAUAGGCAAUAUAACUUAGCCUGUGCCGGCUGAUGGGACAUUUUCCUGGAGAGCAGACCUCCCCCAAGCAGAACUGUGACAGCAGCUUUCCUCUGUGUUCCUCAGGCUAUAGAUGAUGGGGUUUAGUGAGGCUGUCACAGCCCCGUAGAGCAAUGUGAUAAUUUUAUCCACAUCGGGGUCCUGGGCUUUGGGCUUGAAGUACAUGAAGGAAACGGUCCCAUAGAAAACCACCACCACUGUGAGGUGGGCAGAACGGGUGGAGAAGGCUUUGUGCCGGCGUGCAGCAGAGGGCACCCAAAGGAUGGCAACCAGGAUGAAAAUGUAGGACAGUCAGAUGAGCAGGUGGGGUCAGUGUCGAACAGCUGUGGCCACCCUUAGUGUCAGUACGUUGAGGGAGACGCCCCUAUAAGCCAGUUUAAGCACUGCCAAGAUCUCACAGAAGUGGUUGAUGACAUUAUGGCCACACAAAGGGAAGUGCCAGACAGGGAUGGACUGCAGCAGUGAGUUGGCAAAGCCUGUUCCCCAACUCAGCUCUGCCAUCUGCAUGCAUGUCUGCCCACUCAUAAGCUCUAGGUACCUAAGUGGGUGACAGCCACAUAACGGUCAUAUGCCAUCAGAGCCAGGAGUGUGCACUCUGUAGGGCACAGCUCAGGAAGGAGAUGGUCCUUUGGGUUUUCAGGAAGUUAGCACGAAAGGCAUGAAGGAGGAGGUGCCACAGAUGUCUAUGGGGGAAAGGUUGCUGAGAAGCACAUGGGAUUAUAUAGGUGGAGGUCCAGUGUGCUCAUCCGUAUGAGGAGGGAGUUCCCCAGCACAGCCAUACAGUAGAUGCCCAGGCAAAACACAAACAGGGCCACCUCUAGGUUAUGAUGCUCACGAAGCUCCAUCACAGCUGUCCAGUUGGCCCCAUCCAUUUCAUUCUCUAUCCUUUUCCAUGUGGACAACACAGCUUUUAGCUGUGACUGGCAUGGAUGUGUGACCCGCAGCAGCUCAGGCUCGCUCUGUGGCAUUUAGCUUCACCAUCUGUAUAAGGAGAGACUUGGAUUUCAGGUCUGUGGCUGCCCUCUCAGCUCUGCUCUUCUGCUGACGUAACUUGGAGAAGGAUAUUUCAAAUUCUGCUCUUGAGUUCUUCACUGUCCUCCCCAGGGGUUGCUUAGAGGAGACAAUGGAGUAGGAUUCACAUUUGACUCACUUCCUUGGAAUCUCAAGUGUUAUGGGUAUUCAAAGGAUGAAUCUUUUUUAGGUUAGGACUUCAUAUGACUGAAUUAUGCCCAUAUUUCAGAUUCAUUCAUUCACUGACUAUUGAUUGAGUGCCUCUUUUGUGCUAGGUAUUGUUUCAGGUGCUGGGGCUCCACCAGUAAGAAAGAAUAAGUGAACAACAGAUUCUGCACUUAUGCUGCCCCCCUCUUCCUUGACUGAGGAUUGAUUUUAGAUGACCUGAGCAGCUCCUGGGCUCCAUCUGGUGACCAUAGUAUCUAUUAUACAUGGAAUCAGAAGAGACCUAGAAUAGCCAAGGUCAUUGUUAGCUGAGCGUUCUCUUUCUUCUACUUGGGAAACUCCUCCACCCUGACCCUGACUCCAGAUAUUUAUAUGGCUGACUCUUCAGGACUCAAAUCAGAAGUCAUUACUUCAAAAAGACAGUAUCGUUUUCCGUAUGCAUAACUGGUAUGGUGGUGCACACCUAUAAUCUCAGCACUCAGGAGG